UGACACUCAAGAAAACAUUCACACUCGUUAACUAUGAAUUUGAACUCAAUUUAUUAAUCAAGCCAAUCAUAUACAUCUCCUAUUAGUAAUUUUGCAUUACUAUACUAUUCUUAUUCUAUGCUUAUUGUUUAUUAUGCUGUGAGUAUUUUACUAACAAACCUAUGAUUCUUAAUGCAGCACCUAGAAUUUGAUGCAUUAAAGCAGGAAAUGAAACUCGGACAAAAUUUUGACACUCCUUUCUGGGUUUAGAUGCAACUUUACCUUAUGCAUGUUUGAUCCUUUUGCUGGCUGGAUUGCAAUUUAAUAGUAGCUUCACUCUGAUCAAGAAGCAACUCUAAGAAUGGUUGAUCCGUUAAAUUUCCAUAGUGUAACUUGGUAGAUUUAUGAUGCUGUCAAACUUUUUUCUUUUUACCUCAGUUUUGUCUCACAAAUGUA
RNAcentral lists this long non-coding RNA (435 nucleotides) under Trifolium pratense (red clover). Its description in RNAcentral is "long non-coding RNA (TPRA_LNC002772)". Lineage: Eukaryota; Viridiplantae; Streptophyta; Magnoliopsida; Fabales; Fabaceae. The record is from RNAcentral.